RNAcentral lists this microRNA (22 nucleotides) under Magallana gigas (Pacific oyster). RNAcentral's name for it is "Mgi-Mir-184-P11_3p (mature (guide))". Lineage: Eukaryota; Metazoa; Mollusca; Bivalvia; Ostreida; Ostreidae. The record is from RNAcentral.
UGGACGGAAGCCUGAUAAGGGA